This 429-nucleotide ribosomal RNA is filed under the name Chloroflexota bacterium. RNAcentral's name for it is "Chloroflexi bacterium partial 16S ribosomal RNA". It matches the Rfam family "Bacterial small subunit ribosomal RNA", at positions 355 to 776 of the family's 1533-position model. The record is from RNAcentral. Lineage: Bacteria; Bacillati; Chloroflexota.
UGGGGAAUAUUGCACAAUGGGCGCAAGCCUGAUGCAGCCAUGCCGCGUGUGUGAAGAAGGCCUUCGGGUUGUAAAGCACUUUCAGCGGGGAGGAAGGCGUUAAGGAUAAUAACCUUGGCGAUUGACGUUACCCGCAGAAGAAGCACCGGCUAACUCCGUGCCAGCAGCCGCGGUAAUACGGAGGGUGCAAGCGUUAAUCGGAAUUACUGGGCGUAAAGCGCACGCAGGCGGUCUGUCAAGUCGGAUGUGAAAUCCCCGGGCUCAACCUGGGAACUGCAUUCGAAACUUGCAGGCGAGAGUCUUGUAGAGGGGGGUAGAAUUCCAGGUGUGGCGGUGAAAUGCGGAGAGGACUGGGGGAAUACCGGUGGCGGAGGCGGCCCCCUGGACAAAGACUGACGCUCAGGUGCGAAAGCGGGGGGAGCAAACAGG